UAGAGUUUGAUCCUGGCUCAGGAUGAACGCUAGCGACAGGCUUAACACAUGCAAGUCGAGGGGCAGCGGUGGUGAAGGCUUGCCUUUACCAGCCGGCGACCGGCGCACGGGUGAGUAACACGUAUGCAACCUGCCUGCCACAGCCGGAUAAUCGGGAGAAAUUCCGUCUAAUACGGCAUAAUGCACCUAUGGGACAUCCUGUUGGUGCCAAAGGUUGAUUCCGGUGGCGGAUGGGCAUGCGUCGCAUUAGUUAGUUGGCGGUGUAACGGACCACCAAGACGACGAUGCGUAGGGGUUCUGAGAGGAAGGUCCCCCACACUGGUACUGAGACACGGACCAGACUCCUACGGGAGGCAGCAGUGAGGAAUAUUGGUCAAUGGGCGGGAGCCUGAACCAGCCAAGUCGCGUGAGGGAUGACGGCCCUAUGGGUUGUAAACCUCUUUUGCCGGGGAGCAAAGUGCCGCACGUGUGCGGUUUGGAGAGUACCCGGAGAAAAAGCAUCGGCUAACUCCGUGCCAGCAGCCGCGGUAAUACGGAGGAUGCGAGCGUUAUCCGGAUUUAUUGGGUUUAAAGGGUGCGUAGGCGGACGCUUAAGUCAGCGGUAAAAUUGCGGGGCUCAACCUCGUCGAGCCGUUGAAACUGGGUGCCUUGAGUGGGCGAGAAGUACGCGGAAUGCGUGGUGUAGCGGUGAAAUGCAUAGAUAUCACGCAGAACUCCGAUUGCGAAGGCAGCGUACCGGCGCCCAACUGACGCUGAAGCACGAAGGCGUGGGUAUCGAACAGGAUUAGAUACCCUGGUAGUCCACGCAGUAAACGAUGAAUGCUAGUUGUCCGGGGCGAUUGAGUUCUGGGUGACACAGCGAAAGCGUUAAGCAUUCCACCUGGGGAGUACGCCGGCAACGGUGAAACUCAAAGGAAUUGACGGGGGCCCGCACAAGCGGAGGAACAUGUGGUUUAAUUCGAUGAUACGCGAGGAACCUUACCCGGGCUCAAACGCAGGAGGGAUGUUUUUGAAAGGAGGCAGCCAGCAAUGGUCUCCUGCGAGGUGCUGCAUGGUUGUCGUCAGCUCGUGCCGUGAGGUGUCGGCUUAAGUGCCAUAACGAGCGCAACCCCUACCUACAGUUGCCAUCGCGUGAUGGCGGGCACUCUGUGGGGACUGCCUGCGCAAGCAGUGAGGAAGGCGGGGAUGACGUCAAAUCAGCACGGCCCUUACGUCCGGGGCGACACACGUGUUACAAUGGCAGGUACAGCGGGAAGCCACCCGGCGACGGGGCGCGGAACCCGAAAACCUGUCUCAGUUCGGAUUGGAGUCUGCAACCCGACUCCAUGAAGCUGGAUUCGCUAGUAAUCGCGCAUCAGCCACGGCGCGGUGAAUACGUUCCCGGGCCUUGCACUCACCGCCCGUCAAG
Molecule: ribosomal RNA, 1408 nt
Filed under: uncultured bacterium
Lineage: Bacteria
Description: bacterial SSU rRNA
Rfam family: Bacterial small subunit ribosomal RNA
Source: RNAcentral